RNAcentral lists this ribosomal RNA (430 nucleotides) under bacterium. Its description in RNAcentral is "partial 16S ribosomal RNA". It matches the Rfam family "Bacterial small subunit ribosomal RNA", at positions 355 to 776 of the family's 1533-position model. The record is from RNAcentral.
UGGGGAAUAUUGGACAAUGGGCGAAAGCCUGAUCCAGCCAUGCCGCGUGUGUGAAGAAGGCCUUUUGGUUGUAAAGCACUUUAAGCGAGGAGGAGGCUACUUGGAUUAAUACUCUAGGAUAGUGGACGUUACUCGCAGAAUAAGCACCGGCUAACUCUGUGCCAGCAGCCGCGGUAAUACAGAGGGUGCGAGCGUUAAUCGGAUUUACUGGGCGUAAAGCGUGCGUAGGCGGCUUUUUAAGUCGGAUGUGAAAUCCCUGAGCUUAACUUAGGAAUUGCAUUCGAUACUGGGAAGCUAGAGUAUGGGAGAGGAUGGUAGAAUUCCAGGUGUAGCGGUGAAAUGCGUAGAGAUCUGGAGGAAUACCGAUGGCGAAGGCAGCCAUCUGGCCUAAUACUGACGCUGUGGUACGAAAGCAUGGGGAGCAAACAGG